This 491-nucleotide ribosomal RNA is filed under the name uncultured bacterium. Its description in RNAcentral is "bacterial SSU rRNA". It matches the Rfam family "Bacterial small subunit ribosomal RNA", at positions 19 to 507 of the family's 1533-position model. The record is from RNAcentral.
AUGGCUCAGAUUGAACGCUGGCGGCAUGCCUUACACAUGCAAGUCGAACGGCAGCACGGGGCAACCUGGUGGCGAGUGGCGAACGGGUGAGUAAUGCAUCGGAACGUGCCAUUGAGUGGGGGGUAACGUAGCGAAAGUUACGCUAAUACCGCAUAUUCUGUGAGCAGGAAAGCAGGGGAUCGCAAGACCUUGCGCUCUUUGAGCGGCCGAUGUCAGAUUAGCUAGUUGGUGAGGUAACGGCUUACCAAGGCGACGAUCUGUAGCGGGUCUGAGAGGAUGAUCCGCCACACUGGAACUGAGACACGGUCCAGACUCCUACGGGAGGCAGCAGUGGGGAAUUUUGGACAAUGGGGGCAACCCUGAUCCAGCCAUGCCGCGUGAGUGAAGAAGGCCUUCGGGUUGUAAAGCUCUUUCGGCCGGGAAGAAAUCGCAUGGGUUAAUACCCUGUGUGGAUGACGGUACCGGCAUAAGAAGCACCGGCUAACUACGUG